CCUACGGGGUGCAGCAGUGAGGAAUAUUGGUCAAUGGGCGGAAGCCUGAACCAGCCAAGUAGCGUGCGGGAUGAAGGCCCUACAGGUCGUAAACCGCUUUUGCACGGGGAUAACACCCUCCACUUGUGGAGGUCUGCAGGUACCGUGCGAAUAAGGGCCGGCUAAUUCCGUGCCAGCAGCCGCGGUAAUACGGAAGGCCCGAGCGUUAUCCGGAUGCAUUGGGCGUACAGGGAGCGUAGGCGGGCGUUCCAGUCAGCUGUAAAAUCGCGCGGCUCAACCGCGCCCCGCAGUUGAAACUGGACGCAUUGAGUUCACAACAGGCAGGCGGAAUUCGUGGUGUAGCGGUGAAAUGCAUAGAUAUCACGAGGAACCCCGAUUGCGAAGGCAGCCUGCCGGGGUGCGACUGACGCUGAGGCUCGAAGGUGCGGGUAUCAAACAGGAUUAGAUACCCCAGUAGUC
This 459-nucleotide ribosomal RNA is filed under the name uncultured bacterium. RNAcentral's name for it is "partial 16S ribosomal RNA". It matches the Rfam family "Bacterial small subunit ribosomal RNA", at positions 338 to 795 of the family's 1533-position model. The record is from RNAcentral.